ACACGUGGACAACCUACCCUUAGGUCGGGGAUAAACCCGGGAAACUGGGUAUAAUACCCGAUAGUCCUCGGAUGCUGGAAUGCACCGAGGUCUAAAGCUCCGGCGCCUAAGGAUGGGUCUGCGGCCUAUCAGGUAGUAGUGGGUGUAGCGUACCUACUAGCCUACGACGGGUACGGGUUGUGAGAGCAAGAGCCCGGAGAUGGAUUCUGAGACACGAAUCCAGGCCCUACGGGGUGCAGCAGGCGCGAAAACUUUACAAUGCUGGAAACAGCGAUAAGGGGACCUCGAGUGCCAGGUUACAAAUCUGGCUGUCGUGAUGCCUAAAAAGCAUUGCAUAGCAAGGGCCGGGCAAGACCGGUGCCAGCCGCCGCGGUAACACCGGCGGCUCGAGUGGUAACCGCUAUUAUUGGGUCUAAAGGGUCUGUAGCCGGCCGGAUAAGUCUUUUGGGAAAUCUGGCAGCUUAACUGUCAGGCUUUCAGAGGAUACUGUCUGGCUCGAGGCCGGGAGAGGUGAGAGGUACUU
Molecule: ribosomal RNA, 523 nt
Filed under: uncultured archaeon
Lineage: Archaea
Description: bacterial SSU rRNA
Rfam family: Archaeal small subunit ribosomal RNA
Source: RNAcentral